GCCAGCAUGGUGCAGUGAUUUGAGUGCUGGACUACAACUCUGGAGACCAGGGUUCAAUUCCCUGAUUUGCCA
This 72-nucleotide transfer RNA is filed under the name Phrynosoma platyrhinos (Desert horned lizard). RNAcentral's name for it is "tRNA-OTHER". The record is from RNAcentral. Lineage: Eukaryota; Metazoa; Chordata; Lepidosauria; Squamata; Phrynosomatidae.